UUUUUCCUGUGAUGUUUUGCACUGGCUCUGAAUAUCUGUGGUGAUAAGGUGCUCUCUGGCUCUGACAUGCUUGAGUCUGAGGAGACU
This 87-nucleotide small nucleolar RNA is filed under the name Oncorhynchus tshawytscha (Chinook salmon). The record is from RNAcentral. Lineage: Eukaryota; Metazoa; Chordata; Actinopteri; Salmoniformes; Salmonidae.